RNAcentral lists this ribosomal RNA (224 nucleotides) under uncultured bacterium. RNAcentral's name for it is "partial 16S ribosomal RNA". It matches the Rfam family "Bacterial small subunit ribosomal RNA", at positions 118 to 351 of the family's 1533-position model. The record is from RNAcentral.
UGGAUACCUACCUCGAGGUGGAGGAUAACCCGGGGAAACUCGGGCUAAUACCGCAUAACAUCUACGGAUCAAAGGGGGCGCAAGCUCCCGCCGUGAGAGGGGUCCGCGUCCGAUUAGCUAGUUGGUAGGGUAAUGGCCUACCAAGGCGACGAUCGGUAGCCGGCCUGAGAGGGUGAUCGGCCACACUGGAACUGAGACACGGUCCAGACUCCUACGGGAGGCAG